Molecule: long non-coding RNA, 278 nt
Organism: Rhagoletis zephyria (snowberry fruit fly)
Lineage: Eukaryota; Metazoa; Arthropoda; Insecta; Diptera; Tephritidae
Source: RefSeq, a predicted model, not a curated record
UCGGCAUCGAGCUGCAUUAUAACGCUUCGGAUCGUGGCAGCUUGGUGGCGCCAUCUGUGGCCGCCAUUUGGGACAGUGUACAGCAAUCGUUCGAAUGUUGUGGCGUCUCCUCGUAUGAAGACUGGUAUGAUAUUCAGUCGUGGAGUGGCAAACGUUGGGUACCCGAGUCGUGUUGUCGGCCUUCGGAGGCGCGUAGCAUAUUGACCGAGGGUUCUGGAGACAGUUUUCUGCGAGUCGAUUGUGGGAAAUCCGAAAAUCCCAGCCUCUGGUGGAGUAGG